CGACGAGCUCCGGGUUCGAGUCCCGGGCAACCCG
This 34-nucleotide transfer RNA is filed under the name Pinus densiflora. RNAcentral's name for it is "partial tRNA-Lys". The record is from RNAcentral. Lineage: Eukaryota; Viridiplantae; Streptophyta; Pinopsida; Pinales; Pinaceae.